CCUGCCUGCAGCCCUGUGUGGUCUCAUCCACUUGUUGAGUAUGAAACACUGAACUGUGGAAAAUGUACCUGAGGACUGGACAUAGCAUGAGGAAGCUCUUUUGUCCUGACCUUCAAAAUGUAUGCACAAUGUAAUCUCCAAAUGGAAAAACUCCAUGGCAAGAGAAGGCGCCCAGCAAAAGCACCACCUACUCCUGUCGCAGUCCACAGAUCCAUACCCUCCGGGUGUACCAACAUAAAGUUUACCAGCCCCAGAGACAACCACCUCCUCAUCUCAUCCAAUAUUACUGCUUCCUCUGAUAUUUCAGGUAAGUGGUUCUUUGUUCACUCCAAAACUGCAUUUAGUGAAAUCAAGACUAGCUUACACUGGCAUUUAAAUAAAACACUUUUACCAAGCAAGCUCACUUUGAUUAGAACAAUUAAGGCAGAGACUCCAUGA
RNAcentral lists this long non-coding RNA (438 nucleotides) under Coturnix japonica (Japanese quail). RNAcentral describes it as "lncRNA (ENSCJPG00005005638.1)". Lineage: Eukaryota; Metazoa; Chordata; Aves; Galliformes; Phasianidae. The record is from RNAcentral.